AUUGAACGCUGGCGGCAUGCUUUACACAUGCAAGUCGAACGGUAACAGGUCUUCGGAUGCUGACGAGUGGCGAACGGGUGAGUAAUGUAUCGGAACGUGCCCAUGUCGUGGGGGAUAACGUAGCGAAAGCUACGCUAAUACCGCAUACGCCCUGAGGGGGAAAGCGGGGGAUUCUUCGGAACCUCGCGCGAUUGGAGCGGCCGAUGUCGGAUUAGCUAGUAGGUGAGGUAAAGGCUCACCUAGGCGACGAUCCGUAGCGGGUCUGAGAGGAUGAUCCGCCACACUGGGACUGAGACACGGCCCAGACUCCUACGGGAGGCAGCAGUGGGGAAUAUUGGACAAUGGGGGAAACCCUGAUCCAGCUACGCCGCGUGCGGGACGAAGGCCUCGGUUGUAACCG
This 400-nucleotide ribosomal RNA is filed under the name uncultured bacterium. RNAcentral describes it as "bacterial SSU rRNA". It matches the Rfam family "Bacterial small subunit ribosomal RNA", at positions 30 to 432 of the family's 1533-position model. The record is from RNAcentral.